This 87-nucleotide transfer RNA is filed under the name bacterium. RNAcentral's name for it is "tRNA-Leu". It matches the Rfam family "tRNA". Rfam says of the family: Transfer RNA (tRNA) molecules are approximately 80 nucleotides in length. Their secondary structure includes four short double-helical elements and three loops (D, anti-codon, and T loops). The record is from RNAcentral.
GCGGACGUGGCGGAAUUGGUAUACGCGCUAGCUUGAGGGGCUAGUGCCAGCAAUGGCUUGAGAGUUCGAGUCUCUCCGUCCGCACCA